UGAGUGGUCGGAGAGGUAUGAGGCGUUUAGUGUUUAGUGAGGAUUAUCUAGCCCCCAAUGCUCUGCACUCACAUCGUUCGACUCCGGAAAAUUGUUCCCAGACGAUGCAGAAUGUCACCUGAGAGGCAAAGUGAGGUGGAUCCUGUUCAAUGACAAAGACAGCAGAUGAGCCUAGUUCACCUGUUCCUCUUGGACGGCCACUGGGAUGGAUGCUGUGAGGAACCUGGCUCUUGGGUUCCACCUUGAUAUGAUUCUCUAAGGGAGAAUAUGACUGCAGCAGCACUUCACUCAGUGCUCUGACAAGGACCUAAGUGUAGAAGCUAUGGCCUGCACCAACCUCACUCCUGCAGCAAAUGGUGCAUCCUCUGAUCCCCUAUAGUAAACAGUGCUUCAGCGUUGGGAAACAAGAGGAGCAAACAAGGCUGAACUCUGGAGCUUAAGGGGGGACCGUUGUUGGAUCAGCAGUGAUUACGAAUUAAGUGAUGUUGUCCGUAAGCACAUUAGGUUAUGAUUAGUGAGGGCCGUUGAGAGCAGAGUGCUACACCUCUGAGGACUGUUGUCGACCGGCAUGCUAGUGAACUCUCCAGCUCCACGGAUCCUUACCCGUUCCAGUCGGGUUAAUAUGAUAUGUGAUGUUAUAGUUGGGACAUUGAUAGAAGCUUCUCACUUUGACAAGCAAGUACCUCUGAUAAGAUUGUUUUAAGGACACACACACACAAAAUAUUUAGCUAUUUUGCAAACUACCAAUAUCCAGAGGCACAUUGUGAUUCCUCAAGUGAGUUGUUUUCUCAUUGCUAAAGUAGAUGAAUGCAUUAAUUGUAUUUUGCUACAGUGUAUAAAGAUAUUCAUAUUGAAUACUGAAACAAUUUAUAUGUUAAACAUAUGUAUAUGUGUUUUAUACACCUGUGAUAAUGACAAACCACCAAAUAUUAUGGAAGCCAUUAAACUAUGGAAAAAACAGAUUGAAAUUAAAUUUGUUGUACAGAUUGUGAAAUUGUUUAUUAAAUGCUUUAAUAUGA
Oncorhynchus masou masou (cherry salmon) is the source of this 1019-nucleotide long non-coding RNA. RefSeq lists it as uncharacterized. The transcript has 2 exons. Lineage: Eukaryota; Metazoa; Chordata; Actinopteri; Salmoniformes; Salmonidae. The record is from RefSeq and is a predicted model, not a curated record.